CCUACGGGCGUCAGCAGUAGGGAAUAUUGCUCAAUGGGGGAAACCCUGAAGCAGCAACGCCGCGUGGAGGAUGAAGGUUUUCGGAUUGUAAACUCCUUUUGUUAGAGAAGAUAAUGACGGUAUCUAACGAAUAAGCACCGGCUAACUCCGUGCCAGUAGCCGCGGUAAUACGGAGGGUGCAAGCGUUACUCGGAAUCACUGGGCGUAAAGAGCGCGUAGGCGGGAUAGCAAGUCAGAUGUGAAAUCCUAGGGCUUAACCAUAGAACUGCAUUUGAAACUGUUAUUCUAGAGUAUGGGAGAGGUAGGUGGAAUGCUUGGUGUAGGGGUAAAAUCCGUAGAGAUCAAGAGGAAUACUCAUUGCGAAGGCGACCUGCUAGAACAUAACUGACGCUGAUGCGCGAAAGCGUGGGGAGCAAACAGGAUUAGAUACCCCAGUAGUC
This 440-nucleotide ribosomal RNA is filed under the name uncultured bacterium. RNAcentral describes it as "partial 16S ribosomal RNA". It matches the Rfam family "Bacterial small subunit ribosomal RNA", at positions 338 to 795 of the family's 1533-position model. The record is from RNAcentral.